This 442-nucleotide ribosomal RNA is filed under the name uncultured bacterium. Its description in RNAcentral is "partial 16S ribosomal RNA". It matches the Rfam family "Bacterial small subunit ribosomal RNA", at positions 338 to 795 of the family's 1533-position model. The record is from RNAcentral.
CCUACGGGAGGCAGCAGUAGGGAAUCUUUCACAAUGGGCGAAAGCCUGAUGGAGCAACGCCGCGUGCAGGAUGAAGGCCUUCGGGUUGUAAACUGCUUUUAUAAGCGAGAAAUAUGAUGGUAACUUAUGAAUAAGGAUCGGCUAACUACGUGCCAGCAGCCGCGGUCAUACGUAGGAUCCGAGCAUUAUCCGGAGUGACUGGGUGUAAAGAGUUGCGUAGGUGGCAUAAUAAGUAGCUAGUGAAAUCUGGUGGCUCAACCAUUCAGACUAUUAGCUAAACUGUUAAGCUCGAGACCGUUAGGGGUAACUGGAAUGUCUAGUGUAGGAGUGAAAUCCGUAGAUAUUAGAAGGAACACCAAUAGCGUAGGCAGGUUGCUGGGACGGUUCUGACACUGAGGCACGAAAGCGUAGGGAGCAAACGGGAUUAGAUACCCCGGUAGUC